This is a non-coding RNA of Doryrhamphus excisus (bluestripe pipefish), 1049 nucleotides long. Lineage: Eukaryota; Metazoa; Chordata; Actinopteri; Syngnathiformes; Syngnathidae. The record is from RefSeq and is a predicted model, not a curated record.
CUCAUUUUGAAUUGAAGAGCCCUUAUCUAGUGUAACGAACCGCAGGUGUUUGUCGUGUUGUGUUGAGGUUGGGACGCCUUACCUGUCUGACACCUGCUCUAAAGUCAGCUUCUUGUCACUUUGAAGAAGAAUGGACACAUAAUGACGUAUGACCCCCACGAGGAAGGUGAUGAAGACAAUGGGUAACACCACCCAGAGUCGAAUGUUGGAGUCCAGGAGGAGCUCCGGCUCAGCCAUUCAGCCUGCUUACCGUCUCUGGCGAAUGCGAAGGACACAGAAAAGGGAUACGGAAUUGAAAGACUGACUCAGCGGCUUCAUCUGUUAAGGUGAACUCGCAUCCAUAUUCCACAUAUGCCACAUCCGACAGAGACAAAGACCUCAAGCAGGACGGUGAGUUCAUCCUGUCGACUCUCUGCACAGAUGUCGGAUGGCGGGUGUCGGCCUCUUCUCAUUCCCUCACAAGGCAAUUAGCGUGGCGACCUGGGGGCUGCUGCCUUGUGCACGCCACCUUCUCUCCUAACGACUCCUUCACGUCUCCUCGCAGGCUUUUGGAAAAGACAAAGUCCAAAGUGUCGUGUACCUUCAUCGUGUGUCCCAAGAGGGCAGCAUGACUUCUACUGUAGUCAUCAAGCUUCCACCAGAAACCAAUAAGAUUAUAUGCUCCACUUUGUAAACUCAGUGUAAGCAGGAGGAAUUCCCUGAAGGAGGUGACUCGACCUUCCAGGAGACACACCGAGGCCCAGAGAGAGAGAGAGGAAAAUGGGAUGUGUACAAGAGAAGAACAAAGGGGGACACUUUUGGACAAAGGUGAAGAAUAUGAGCCUCUGGCUGCUGUCCGUCAAGACACGGGACCAUCCUGGGUCCAAAUGAAGGUUAGUACUCGUGCUCGGUGUAGGCCCAUAACCAUCAGACAUCUGCCAGAUAAGAAACAUCUCCAAAGGCCUGGUCUCCUUCAAGGUUUGGAAUGAGCAGGAGAGCACCAAACAUGGGACAUUGAAAGGUGGAAGAAAGUUUUCUUCUCCCCGGACGGUCCUGAUGUGAUGUAAUGU